This 430-nucleotide ribosomal RNA is filed under the name uncultured bacterium. RNAcentral describes it as "partial 16S ribosomal RNA". It matches the Rfam family "Bacterial small subunit ribosomal RNA", at positions 338 to 795 of the family's 1533-position model. The record is from RNAcentral.
CCUACGGGAGGCUGCAGUCGCGAAUUUUUCACAAUGGGCGCAAGCCUGAUGAAGCCACGCCGCGUGCGGGAUGAAGGCCUCUGGGUUGUAAACCGCUGUCAGAGGGGCGUCUGCUCUCUGAAGAAGCCCCGGCAAAACAUGUGCCAGCAGCCGCGGUAAUACAUGUGGGGCAAGCGUUGUUCGGAAUUACUGGGCAUAAAGGGUGCGUAGGUGGUUUGUUAAGUCAGGGGUGAAAUCCCGCGGCCCAACCGUGGAACUGCCUUUGAUACUGGCGAACUUGAGUGCGUGAGGGGUAGGGGGAACGAGCAGUGUAGCGGUGAAAUGCGUAGAUAUUGCUCGGAAGGCCAGAGCCGAAGGGGCCCUACUGGUGCGCACUGACACUGAGGCACGAAAGCGUGGGGAGCAAACAGGAUUAGAUACCCUUGUAGUC